AUGCUCCCGUGUGGCGGCCACAUGGC
RNAcentral lists this ribosomal RNA (26 nucleotides) under Acacia victoriae. Its description in RNAcentral is "partial small subunit ribosomal RNA". The record is from RNAcentral. Lineage: Eukaryota; Viridiplantae; Streptophyta; Magnoliopsida; Fabales; Fabaceae.